CAUGCCAUGACAAGUUGAUCCUUUUUAACCCACUUGCCAAACUCCGGGUUUGCCUGCUCCGUGACUUCAUCGCCGUUACGGACAGUGACAGUAGGCGAAGGUCGAACAGAGCCACCAUUGACGAACCCUAACAGAGAUUGACUUGACAGAAAAGACUCAAACUGAGUUUUCCACAAAAGGUAGUUUGUGGAAGAGAGUUUGAGAGUAACACAGUGUGUGAUACUCAGAGAAGGAGACGUGAACGGAUCAUUGUCUUCCAUGCUCUGAUACCAUAAAGAUCAGAGAGAGAAGCUUGAAUGAAGAAGAUAACUUUAACUUUACUUUUGUUAUUCAACUUAAUCCAACGUUACAUCAUCGUUUCCUAUUUAUAUACAAGAUAGAUCUUAUCCUCUUAGUUUGUCAGCAUGUGACAGCACAUGAGGUAAGGCAUUCAAAUCUGUUGGAUGUACCGAUGAUGUGAGCUGGAGCCGUCGUACAUCGAGAGCUCCUUUGAACGUUGAAUGUUGACGACUUUACCGU
This 519-nucleotide long non-coding RNA is filed under the name Brassica napus (rape). Its description in RNAcentral is "long non-coding RNA (BNAP_LNC019244)". Lineage: Eukaryota; Viridiplantae; Streptophyta; Magnoliopsida; Brassicales; Brassicaceae. The record is from RNAcentral.